Molecule: unclassified non-coding RNA, 1309 nt
Filed under: Dimorphilus gyrociliatus
Lineage: Eukaryota; Metazoa; Annelida; Polychaeta; Dinophilidae
Description: hypothetical protein
Source: RNAcentral
GCAUUAGAUGGCGCCAUAAACGGCUAUAUAAAUUAAUCCUUAGACAGAUCGAUUGUAACCCGCCUAUUUCGCAUUUUUGCUGCCCCGAUCGAAUGUUCACCACAAAAGGUAAAAUUAAGAGGAUUCAUAGGCUAUUUUUGUUGAAGAGAUUGUAAAAUUCUUGAAUAAUCCCCAUUUUUUACGAAUCUACCGAAGCUCUCCGGUCAUAUUGAACAUCUUAUCCAAGGCCCAUCAAAUACCGUUUAAAGCUCGUUGAAAAAAAGCACUGUAUUCUAUAAAUUAUGGAAAGAACUCGAGCGAUUUCGUCUGAUGAAUUAAUUCUCGAGCACAUGAGAACAAAACGGGUAGUUGGAGUAAUGAAAAAGGAUGGAGAAGAGACACCCGCCUACUUGAAGAGGGUCGAAAAGACGUCAACUUCAUCGGAAGAUGGGGAUAGCGUUCUUAAACUCAUAAGAGAUAGUAGAUUGACAAAGGACAUUCAAGAGCGAUAUUUAAAAGGAGCGAGUAGUUCGAUAGAGGAGAAAGACGAUCAGGAUUUAAUGCUUCGACAUAUGAGAAAUAAUGGAGUAGUAAGGAAGAGUAUUGAAUAUAUCUCGAAUUUAUCAGUACCUUCAGAAUAAACAGAAGAAAUAGAGAACAACAUAAACUUUUACAAUAUAGAUUUAACUUUUUGCGUUAUAUUAUUGGAAGAAAAAGAGGCAGAAAGGGAAAGAAGGAAUGAUUGGAGGAAAUUACGAUAGAAAGAAGGAUUUUAGUUACGCUACAACUUCGAUUAAUAGUGAUUAUUCUUGGAAAAAAAAGAAGAAAAGGUCCUUCUCCUAUCAAUAUAAAAUAUCCAAUUUAUUUCAUAUUUCCCCCGUAACUAAAAGCUUUGUUAAAUGCCUUAAUCUUAGUUAUUUUAUAAAUUUCUUUAUACCAUUCUCUUUCUCUCUAUCAUCUCUGUUUCUUUCGAAGACUUGAAACUUUUACAAUCAACAUUUCGUUAUAAAAAAAGAGAGGAAAGCAAAGAUAACGUUAGCUUAUCUACUUUCCUGUUUUUGUUUUAUAUAUAUAUAUAUAUAUAUAGAGUAUAUAUACGUAUAUAUUUUUUUGGAAAGAUUUUAUAUAAAUAUAAAUAGUUCAAUAAGAUCUGUUGCAGGAAAAAAAAAUAGAUUUUCACCCAAAAUGAUGCUACUGAUUUUUUUUUUUUUUGCUUCUUUACUAUUAAUACUAUGAGUACGCUAUUAUUUCUAUUAUCAAUUUACAAUUAAUACUAUAAUCUCAAUUCAUUACUUAAUAUGCUUAAUUAAAACCUAUACAUAUAUAUAUA